Molecule: ribosomal RNA, 116 nt
Filed under: Dendroctonus ponderosae (mountain pine beetle)
Lineage: Eukaryota; Metazoa; Arthropoda; Insecta; Coleoptera; Curculionidae
Source: RNAcentral
GGCAACGACCAUACCGCGUUGAAUAAUAUCGGUUCUCGUCCGAUCACCGAAGUUAAGCGACGUCGGGCGCGGUUAGUACUUGGAUGGCAUCAAAAGAAGACCAUCUGACCUAACUU